RNAcentral lists this ribosomal RNA (692 nucleotides) under uncultured low G+C Gram-positive bacterium. RNAcentral describes it as "bacterial SSU rRNA". It matches the Rfam family "Bacterial small subunit ribosomal RNA", at positions 355 to 1036 of the family's 1533-position model. Lineage: Bacteria; Bacillati; Bacillota. The record is from RNAcentral.
GUGGGGAUCUUUCCAAUGGACGCAGUCUGAUGAAGCAACGCCGCGUGAGUGAGGAAGGCCUUUUAGGUUGUAAAGCUCUGUUGCCGGGGAAGAAGGUUAGUGUAAGGAAAUGUGCAUUAAUUGACGGUACCUGGUGAGGAAGCACUGGCUAACUACGUGCCAGCAGCCGCGGUAACACNGUAGAGUGCAAGCGUUGUCCGGAAUCAUUGGGCGUAAAGGGUACGCAGGCGGAUAUACAAGUCAAAUGUGAAAGGUGUAGGCUUAACCUACAGACUGCGUUUGAAACUGUAUAUCUUGAGAGCAGCAGAGGAAGGCGGAAUUCCUGGUGUAGUGGUGAAAUACGUAGAUAUCAGGAAGAACACCAGUGGCGAAGGCGGUCUUCUGGGCUGCAUCUGACGCUCAUGUACGAAAGCUGGGGUAGCGAACGGGAUUAGAUACCCCGGUAGUCCCAGCUGUAAACGAUGGACACUAGGUGUUGGCGGUUCGAAUCCGUCAGUGCCGGAGUUAACGCAUUAAGUGUCCCGCCUGGGGAAUACGGUCGCAAGACUGAAACUCAAAGGAAUUGACGGGGGCCCGCACAAGCGGUGGAGCAUGUGGUUUAAUUCGAUGCAACGCGAANAACCUUACCGAGAAUUGACAUCCCGUGACUACCUGNGAGAGCAGGGUUNGGUNCUUANUAUCACACGGAGACA